ACCAAAUCCUAAACCUUAUCUUUCUCUCUUUUUGCUCUCUUCAUUGCCUUCUCUCUCCGAUGAUCCACCGUCUCUCUCAUUCUCUCUCCGAUAACACCUCUAUUGCCGACAAUGACACUGCUACCUUUAUGGCUGCCCCUCUGUGUGUGUGUGUGUGUGUGUGUCCUUCUUUCUUUGAUGAGGGAGAGAAUGAGAAGUACUACGACGUUCUCUACGACCUCCAUCACUCUAGUGUAGCUUCUACUUCGGCAACAUUUUGUUCUGCAGUAGCUCCAUGACACUCCACAGUCCAGCUCGAGAAAUUGAACAAAUAAUCUCGAUCUCACUGCCUGAAGUUACAACUAGCGGUCUCUGUUCGGGUUUUAGAUUCACGACGGUGACUUUCAACCAUUUUGAGCCUAGAUCUAUGCUGAAAAUUGUUGAUUUGAAUGGUUUCGCAGCAAAGAAGAAGAUCGAGAGUAGUAACCCUAACAUGAAAAAGAUAAAAAAGGAGUGAAAAAGAAGAGCGAGCGAGCGAGAGAGAGAGAGAGAGAGAGAGAGAGAGAGAGAGAGAGAUGAUAAGCGAAAGACAGAGAGAGAGACACAUACACACACAGAUAGAGAGCCUAGAUCAAGUUGAGCCUUUGAUUUUUGAUGAUCACCUGUGGAUCAUCUGUCUAAUCUUUGUAGUGGUAGUGAAAUUCUCAGAUCUGUGGAAGCCUCAGAUCUGUUCAAAUUUUCAUUUCUUAUAGAUUUGAUCAUAUAUAUAUAUACACACAAGAUUAGAUCAUUUAUAUAUUUUUGAUUCAUAGACCUGAUAGUGUUUGCGUUGUUGUUGUUAAUAAUGAUGAUGAUAGUGAGUAAAACAUAUUAAAAAAAUUGAUAGAUAGGUUAGAUAUGUUCAAAAUUUGAACAUAUAGAGGUUUAGUGUAUUUCAAUCACCAAGAUUUAAAUUUCAACAUAUAAAAAAAAUAAAAUGACUUUUCACCAAUAAAAAAAAAACAAAUAGGAAAAAAUAGGCUUGAAAAA
Camellia sinensis is the source of this 1008-nucleotide non-coding RNA. Lineage: Eukaryota; Viridiplantae; Streptophyta; Magnoliopsida; Ericales; Theaceae. The record is from RefSeq and is a predicted model, not a curated record.